CCUACAGGAGGCAGCAGUGGGGAAUAUUGGACAAUGGGCGCAAGCCUGAUCCAGCCAUGCCGCGUGAGUGAUGAAGGCCUUAGGGUUGUAAAGCUCUUUUGUCCGGGACGAUAAUGACGGUACCGGAAGAAUAAGCCCCGGCUAACUUCGUGCCAGCAGCCGCGGUAAU
RNAcentral lists this ribosomal RNA (169 nucleotides) under uncultured bacterium. Its description in RNAcentral is "partial 16S ribosomal RNA". It matches the Rfam family "Bacterial small subunit ribosomal RNA", at positions 338 to 524 of the family's 1533-position model. The record is from RNAcentral.